Molecule: ribosomal RNA, 630 nt
Filed under: Tremella mesenterica
Lineage: Eukaryota; Fungi; Basidiomycota; Tremellomycetes; Tremellales; Tremellaceae
Description: LSU rRNA
Rfam family: Eukaryotic large subunit ribosomal RNA
Source: RNAcentral
UCAAUAAGCGGAGGAAAAGAAACUAACAAGGAUUCCCCUAGUAACGGCGAGCGAACCGGGAAGAGCUCAAAUUUGAAAUCUGGCGUCCUACGGGCGUCCGAGUUGUAAUCUGCAGAGGCGUCUUCCGCCCCGGACCGGGUCCAAGUCCCUUGGAACAGGGUAUCAAAGAGGGUGACAAUCCCGUGCUUGACGCGACCCCCGGUGCUAUGUGAUGCGACCUCAAAGAGUCGAGUUGUUUGGGAAUGCAGCUCAAAACGGGUGGUAAAUUCCAUCUAAGGCUAAAUAUUGGCGAGAGACCGAUAGCGAACAAGUACCGUGAGGGAAAGAUGAAAAGCACUUUGGAAAGAGAGUUAAACAGUACGUGAAAUUGUUGGAAGGGAAACGAUUGAAGUCAGUCGUGUCCGAGGGGUUCAGCCGGUCCUGCCGGUGCACUCCCCUCGGACGGGUCAACAUCGGUUCUGUCCGGCGGACAAGGGCAGGGGGAAAGUGGCACCUUCGUGGUGUGUUAUAGCCCCCCGUCGCAUACGUCGGUCGGGACCGAGGAUCGCAGCUCGCCCUCACGGGCCGGGGUUCGCCCACGUCCGAGCUUAGGAUGUUGACGUAAUGGCUUUAAACGACCCGUCUUGAAAC